UGUAGGGUGUUUACAUCCAUAUUUUGUCUACUUAAUGGAGAUUGGUGGCAUAUAGCAUAGAUAAGUGAAAAUGGAGAAUAUAGUGCAUUUAGUUUAGUACCACUACUUGAGUCCAAUUUAUGUUCUUGUCAAUGGAUGUAUUGAUAUAGGAGCAAGUAUAUUCUUAACAAAUCAACCAACACCCGGUGCAUUUUCUGAAUUAUUGGUUGCACCACCAUUCUUUCUGGAAUAAUAUCUCGAAAAUCCCUGGAGCUAUAUGGUUGAAAUGGCCAAAAUUGAAUCGCUAUACCACAUAAGCAGCUUGGAGGCCAUGGACUUUCUGAAUGAGUUUGUCCAUGAACCCAGAACCCAGGUAUUUCCAAAUCAUUCAUGAUGAGAAGUAUUCUUGACUUCUUGUUACUGAGCCAACCGAGAGUAAUAGUUGACUAGUAGAACCACACCACCUCUAAUUCAUACACACCGAAGGGUAUUUAUUCGUUUCUUUAUGUUGUAUUCUUUUAAGCUUUGAGUAAUAUCUCUUGCAGUGGCCGCGUUAAACUUCAUGAUUUUUUAAGGGUUCUGCAACUAAAGCCUUGUACACUUUCGGAAGAGAUUUUUGGGUUCCUUGAUGUGGAGAAGAAUGGAUCAAUUACAUUUAAGCAGUUCUUAUUUGGAUCAGCUCAUGUUCUGAACCAGCUUCUCUUCCUUCAGGCAGGCAUGUGAACUAGCCUUUGCUGAAUGUGAUGAGGAUGGAUAUAACUACUGUACAAAGAAAGAAUUCGCAGAUAUUCUUAGACGCAAAUUUCCAGACCCGAAUGAUGGCGAGGUUCAUGGACUGUUUGGUCUAUUCGAUACAGACACUGACGGGAGAAUGAGCAGAGAUGAUUUCCUGAGGAAGAACCCUUUGUUGAUAGCAGUUUUCUCACCCAGAUUACUGCGUAAAAAAUUGUCAAAAGCUCGUGAUAAGAUGCUGGAGGAAAUUGUUUGAUGAGUGGACGUGCCAUGGAUAAGAUAUCCGUGUACUGUGUUUUUUUGCCGUGUUAACUGAUUGUGGUGGGAAAGGAUUUUGGUCAUGGGACUACUAUUACGGCCGGCGGCUAUGUACUUUGCUCACACACCAUCUAUUGAUUUUUAUCAACUUUCCUCUUUUUCUUAUUAGAAACGUGAUUUGAAGGCAGUUACGUUACGUAGAUAGGAAAUUCCCGAUUUCAUACCUCACGCAAAAUGUGUAUGAAUUGGAGUUUAGACAGGAUAGAUUAACGAUAAGAUGUUGAAAGGCACAAAGUCGAAAUCGGCAUUAUUGAUUGCGUGAACAUUGUGCUUAGUUU
Molecule: long non-coding RNA, 1307 nt
Organism: Hibiscus syriacus
Lineage: Eukaryota; Viridiplantae; Streptophyta; Magnoliopsida; Malvales; Malvaceae
Exons: 7
Source: RefSeq, a predicted model, not a curated record